AACGCUGGCGGCGUGCCUAAUACAUGCAAGUCGAGCGGGGUUGUGUAGAAGCUUGCUUCUACAYAACCUAGCGGCGGACGGGUGAGUAACACGUAGGCAACCUGCCCACAAGACAGGGAUAACUACCGGAAACGGUAGCUAAUACCCGAUAUAUCCUUUUCCUGCAUGGGAGAAGGAGGAAAGACGGAGCAAUCUGUCACUUGUGGAUGGGCCUGCGGCGCAUUAGCUAGUUGGUGGGGUAAAGGCCUACCAAGGCGACGAUGCGUAGCCGACCUGAGAGGGUGAUCGGCCACACUGGGACUGAGACACGGCCCAGACUCCUACGGGAGGCAGCAGUAGGGAAUCUUCCGCAAUGGGCGAAAGCCUGACGGAGCAACGCCGCGUGAGUGAUGAAGGUUUUCGGAUCGUAAAGCU
RNAcentral lists this ribosomal RNA (414 nucleotides) under Paenibacillus sp. 554(2010). Its description in RNAcentral is "bacterial SSU rRNA". It matches the Rfam family "Bacterial small subunit ribosomal RNA", at positions 32 to 432 of the family's 1533-position model. The record is from RNAcentral. Lineage: Bacteria; Bacillati; Bacillota; Bacilli; Caryophanales; Paenibacillaceae.